GACGAACGCUGGCGGCGUGCUUAACACAUGCAAGUCGAACGGAAAGGCCCUGCUUUUGUGGGGUGCUCGAGUGGCGAACGGGUGAGUAACACGUGAGUAACCUGCCCUUGACUUUGGGAUAACUUCAGGAAACUGGGGCUAAUACCGGAUAGGAGCUCCUGCUGCAUGGUGGGGGUUGGAAAUUUUCGGCGGUUGGGGAUGGACUCGCGGCUUAUCAGCUUGUUGGUGGGGUAGUGGCUUACCAAGGCUUUGACGGGUAGCCGGCCUGAGAGGGUGACCGGCCACAUUGGGACUGAGAUACGGCCCAGACUACUACGGGAGGCAGCAGUGGGGAAUAUUGCACAAUGGGCGGAAGCCUGAUGCAGAAACGCCGCGUGCGGGAUGACGGCCUUCGGGUUGUAAACCGCUUUCGCCUGUGACGAAGCGUGAGUGACGGUAAUGGGUAAAGAAGCACCGGCUAACUACGUG
RNAcentral lists this ribosomal RNA (468 nucleotides) under uncultured bacterium. RNAcentral describes it as "partial 16S ribosomal RNA". It matches the Rfam family "Bacterial small subunit ribosomal RNA", at positions 28 to 507 of the family's 1533-position model. The record is from RNAcentral.